UACGUAGGUGACCAGCGUUGUCCGGAUUUACUGGGCGUAAAGAGCGCGCAGGCGGUCGUUCCAGUCGAGUGUGAAAGCCCCCGGCUCAACUGGGGAGGGUCAUUCGAUACUGAUCGACUGGAAGGCAGGAGAGGGAAGCGGAAUUCCCGGUGUAGUGGUGAAAUGCGUAGAUAUCGGGAGGAACACCAGUGGCGAAGGCGGCAUCCUGGACCAUUACUGACGCUGAGGCGCGAAAGCUAGGGGAGCAAACGGG
Molecule: ribosomal RNA, 253 nt
Filed under: uncultured bacterium
Lineage: Bacteria
Description: partial 16S ribosomal RNA
Rfam family: Bacterial small subunit ribosomal RNA
Source: RNAcentral